This 748-nucleotide ribosomal RNA is filed under the name uncultured bacterium. RNAcentral describes it as "bacterial SSU rRNA". It matches the Rfam family "Bacterial small subunit ribosomal RNA", at positions 763 to 1503 of the family's 1533-position model. The record is from RNAcentral.
GGGGAGCGAAGGGGGUAAAAUACCCCCGUAGUCCCAGGCGUAAACGAUUGGUGAUAGGUGAGGGGGGAAGUAUCAUUCAAGGCAACAGUUAGCACGUUAAUAUUAGCCACCUGGGGAGUACGACCGCAAGGUUGAAACUCAAGGGGAUGGGCGGAGGGCGGCACAAGCAGUGAAGCAUGUGGUUUAAUUCGAAGCAACGCGAGGAACCUUACCGGGGUAUGACAUCUGACGGACCUGGUAGAGAUACCGGGGUGCCCUUUAAGGGAGCGUCAAGACAGGUGGUGCAUGGUUGUCGUCAGCUCGAGUCGUGAGAUGUUGGGUUAAGUCCCGCAACGAGCGCAACCCUUGUGCCUAGUUGCCAGCGCGUAGAGGCGGGCACUCUAGGCAGACUGCCGCAGACAAUGCGGAGGAAGGUGGGGAUGACGUCAAAUCAUCAUGCCCUUUAUAUCCCGGGCUACACACGUGCUACAAUGGCCUGUACAGCGGGUAGCGAAGGAGCGAUCCGGAGCCAAUCCCUGAAAGCAGGUCUCAGUUUGGAUUGCAGGCUGCAACUCGCCUGCAUGAAGUCGGAAUUGCUAGUAAUCGCGGAUCAGCAUGCCGCGGUGAAUACGUUCCCGGGCCUUGUACACACCGCCCGUCACACCAUGGGAGUCGGGGGCACCCGAAGCCGGUGGGCAAACCCUUUAUAGGGAUGCAGCCGUCGAAGGUGAACCCGAUGACUGGGGUGAAGUCGUAACAAGGUAACCGU